Molecule: ribosomal RNA, 468 nt
Filed under: uncultured bacterium
Lineage: Bacteria
Description: partial 16S ribosomal RNA
Rfam family: Bacterial small subunit ribosomal RNA
Source: RNAcentral
GACGAACGCUGGCGGCGUGCUUAACACAUGCAAGUCGAACGGAGAGGCCCUGCUUUUGUGGGGUGCUCGAGUGGCGAACGGGUGAGUAACACGUGAGUAACCUGCCCUUGACUUUGGGAUAACUUCAGGAAACUGGGGCUAAUACCGGAUAGGAGCUCCUGCUGCAUGGUGGGGGUUGGAAAGUUUCGGCGGUUGGGGAUGGACUCGCGGCUUAUCAGCUUGUUGGUGGGGUAGUGGCUUACCAAGGCUUUGACGGGUAGCCGGCCUGAGAGGGUGACCGGCCACAUUGGGACUGAGAUGCGGCCCAGACUCCUACGGGAGGCAGCAGUGGGGAAUAUUGCGCAAUGGGCGGAAGCCUGAUGCAGCAACGCCGCGUGCGGGAUGACGGCCUUCGGGUUGUAAACCGCUUUCGCCUGUGACGAAGCGUGAGUGACGGUAAUGGGUAAAGAAGCACCGGCUAACUACGUG